RNAcentral lists this microRNA precursor (59 nucleotides) under Cavia porcellus (domestic guinea pig). Its description in RNAcentral is "microRNA cpo-mir-502a precursor". Its record names the gene cpo-mir-502a. The record is from miRBase by way of RNAcentral. Lineage: Eukaryota; Metazoa; Chordata; Mammalia; Rodentia; Caviidae.
AAUCCUUGCUAUCUGGGUGCUAGUGCUGUCUCAAUGCAAUGUACCUGGGCAAGGGUUCA